RNAcentral lists this transfer RNA (73 nucleotides) under Candidatus Pacearchaeota archaeon CG06_land_8_20_14_3_00_35_12. RNAcentral describes it as "tRNA-Trp". It matches the Rfam family "tRNA". Rfam says of the family: Transfer RNA (tRNA) molecules are approximately 80 nucleotides in length. Their secondary structure includes four short double-helical elements and three loops (D, anti-codon, and T loops). The record is from RNAcentral. Lineage: Archaea; Nanobdellati.
GGGGACAUAGUUUCAAUGGCUAAAAUGGGCGGCUCCAGCCCGCCAGUUGGGGGUUCGAAUCCCUCUGUCCCCA